Non-coding RNA from Hypoxylon trugodes, 103 nucleotides. The record is from the annotation of a RefSeq genome assembly. NCBI's taxonomy places the organism in Eukaryota, Fungi, Ascomycota, Sordariomycetes, Xylariales, Hypoxylaceae.
UGCCCUUUGGCCCAGUGGUUAAGGCGUCUGACUGUUAUGUUUGCUUCGAAGCUUCAUACACAAGAAAAUCAGAAGAUCCCUGGUUCGACCCCAGGAAGGGCAG